UGAGCUCGAACACAUUCAUGCCCAUCAUUGGUGGAGUUUAUUCUCACAACCAAUGACUUGGCGGACCGCGAUUGAGUUCG
Molecule: microRNA precursor, 80 nt
Filed under: Spodoptera frugiperda (fall armyworm)
Lineage: Eukaryota; Metazoa; Arthropoda; Insecta; Lepidoptera; Noctuidae
Description: microRNA sfr-mir-10451 precursor
Source: miRBase by way of RNAcentral